Molecule: non-coding RNA, 477 nt
Organism: Punica granatum (pomegranate)
Lineage: Eukaryota; Viridiplantae; Streptophyta; Magnoliopsida; Myrtales; Lythraceae
Source: RefSeq, a predicted model, not a curated record
AUUUCUCCUUAUCAACUCUCUCACUCUUCAGAGUUCAAUGGCCGCAUUUUGUAGAGCGAUUUCAUUAGGAUAGCAUACUGGUGGAUCGGCCACAUGUUUGGACAUGUGAUACGUGUCGAAAUACUUGGAAAUGAGCCUAACUGCCUUGUUUUUAUCCCCAGUGCAGUCCCUUAUUUUUCGAGACUGUCACGGAAUUUCAAUGUUUGCACCUUUCCAUGGAUUGCAUAGAGGGCAGUUCUCAGAUCAUGCAACAGAUCGAGCCUGGUCCGUGCAAGUUGUUUGGGUAGUAAGUAUAGUAUCUUGUCAUUCAGCAGAACAGUUAGCGCAACCACGACCAAUCGGAAGAUUCUUUCUGUUCAGUGUCGCAGCACCGAAAACAGGGCGAGCAAACAAGCAUUUUCUUUUUCAACUUUUCUCGACAAUUUUCUGGAAUUUCUCAUCACUCCGGAGAACAAUAUUCAGACAUCUACAGCCAGG